GUGAUUUUUCUUCUCUUCAGCCAAAUGAAUUGAGCUCACAAAACUGAGAGAGUGAGAGAUUAUGGCGAUGCCUUUGGAAAUGGCGAUGCUUUUGACGAAAACGGUUUGGUUUGCUCUGAGCGGCUGGAUUUUAACAUGUUUGUCCAUCGCCGACGAGAUUGCUGGUUCACUCAGAAACCGAGAAGUUGGUCCUCCUUUACAUCUCGCAUGAUCACAUUUACAUUCUUCACCUCUUUCCUAGCUCCUACUCGAUUUUCAGCUUUUUUUUUUCCGGUGUGAAUCGUCCCAAAAGAUUGAAGAGUUUGGGUUUAUAGAGGAGAUAAAUAUAUAGUUAUUAAAAGGCAAAGUACCAAAGGAAUCUUCAAUGAGUGUUCCUUGUGCGAUUCAGCUUCAUGUUUAUUCUCAUAUAACAGAAAGUAUCAGUGCACAGCACAAUUUCUCUAACAGUAAACUUAUAUCCAACUUUUACUUUGUAUGUGUCGUCGGGAUUUGAAUGUGUGGUAUGAUAUUUUAUUUUAGUCUUCUAUAACAAUUAAGUUUCUAUAAGGUUGGAUAUUAAUUUGCUCUGUUUUUAUUACCCUAGAAAAAUUAUAUUAGUGGGAGU
This is a non-coding RNA of Arabidopsis thaliana (thale cress), 604 nucleotides long. The record is from RefSeq. NCBI's taxonomy places the organism in Eukaryota, Viridiplantae, Streptophyta, Magnoliopsida, Brassicales, Brassicaceae.